UACAGCGAGGUUAAGGGUCAGUUUGGCUGCCCUGUGGUAGACAGCUGCUGGAUGUUCUGCUGUUUUUCCCUUUGUGGGGAGCCACUCGCGGGCCCUGACCUUCAGAAGACCCUGUAGUCCAAAUUUGAUCCCUUUCUCCUAAAGUCCAUUGAAUGGACCAGGCCCAUUCCUUACAUUUGGCGCCAAAACCCAGGAGGAGUUUUGUGUACCACAGUCCCCGCAAGGGCCUCUCCUCCCCUGAACCAGGAACCGACCCACCAACUGCUGACUAGCCACCUGCCCUGGCCUUCUGAGGGCCUAUACUCUUACUUAGCAUGACCUCUAUGUAAUCCUGUCCUCCACCGUUACUGCGGAUGAGAGAGAGCAAGUCCAGGCUGCAGCCCGAGAACAUGCUGACCAAGCCCGCCUGGUUGAUGUGACUUUAUCAGUCGGGCAAGUGGCUGUUCCUAUUACCAACCCUCAAUGGGACUAUCAGGAGACAAGUCAGCCAGGCAGUCCCCUCUUUGGAGCUGUUUGGGCUAGCCACCAACUGAAGAGGCCUGUACUUGAAGACCCCCAUCACCCUCACCAAGCCCAGUAGUGGGUAAGUCCAUCUCCUUUCUCGUGGACACAGGGGUUACCUACUUCAUGCUGCCCUCCCAUUUGGGGUCACUUUUUC
Long non-coding RNA from Tupaia belangeri chinensis (Chinese tree shrew), 658 nucleotides. RefSeq lists it as uncharacterized. The record is from RefSeq and is a predicted model, not a curated record. NCBI's taxonomy places the organism in Eukaryota, Metazoa, Chordata, Mammalia, Scandentia, Tupaiidae. The transcript is spliced from 4 exons.